This is a long non-coding RNA of Cyprinus carpio (common carp), 451 nucleotides long. RefSeq lists it as uncharacterized. The transcript is spliced from 3 exons. The record is from RefSeq and is a predicted model, not a curated record. NCBI's taxonomy places the organism in Eukaryota, Metazoa, Chordata, Actinopteri, Cypriniformes, Cyprinidae.
GCUGAAAUGAGAUUUUGUAGGUUGUAUGUUCUCUUUCUACAGCUGAAACGUCUUCGGCAGUAUAUGUUAAAGACUGUCUUAACUGAAGAGAAUCAGCGGUCUGGUGUUUAAGUUGAUGGAGUCUCACACACAUUACUGCAGCAGUGUCUUCAUCUUCCCAUCAGCUGUUGUGGUUUGUCAUGAGUGACGGCUUUUUGCUGCUACUGGAGUCUUCAAAUGAUCCGGGCUGUGGGUUGAAUCCCGUCCCAUCACCUGACAAAGAUCAGUCCUUUCCUCAGGCGACAGAUCGAUGAGUGUUACAGAAGAAGUCGAAAUAUUCUGAAAAAUUCAACUCUGGCAACUCUGACAUGAGGGCUUUUGUUUAACAGCUAAAACUGUGUGUAAACGGGUAAGUGUCUCUGAAUCCAUAACUAUUCCGGGUCAUAUUUCAAAAGGAAAAAAAUCUGAGUAU